AGCGUAAUAUAUGUAACGUCUA
This 22-nucleotide non-coding RNA is filed under the name Arabidopsis thaliana (thale cress). Lineage: Eukaryota; Viridiplantae; Streptophyta; Magnoliopsida; Brassicales; Brassicaceae. The record is from RNAcentral.